Molecule: small nucleolar RNA, 127 nt
Filed under: Dasypus novemcinctus (nine-banded armadillo)
Lineage: Eukaryota; Metazoa; Chordata; Mammalia; Cingulata; Dasypodidae
Description: Small nucleolar RNA SNORA31 (ENSDNOG00000030507.1)
Source: RNAcentral
AUCUUGGACAGACCUAGAGCAGUUAAUGCUGCUGCUAAGGUUUCCACUCUAGAGGCAAGAAAAAGAAGGUCCUCGUACUUUCUGUCUGUCUGGCUGGGGCAGCCAAGAUUGAAUGAAGAUUGAAUGA